This 465-nucleotide ribosomal RNA is filed under the name Vreelandella stevensii. Its description in RNAcentral is "partial 16S ribosomal RNA". It matches the Rfam family "Bacterial small subunit ribosomal RNA", at positions 338 to 795 of the family's 1533-position model. Lineage: Bacteria; Pseudomonadati; Pseudomonadota; Gammaproteobacteria; Oceanospirillales; Halomonadaceae. The record is from RNAcentral.
CCUACGGGCGGCUGCAGUGGGGAAUAUUGGACAAUGGGGGCAACCCUGAUCCAGCCAUGCCGCGUGUGUGAAGAAGGCCCUCGGGUUGUAAAGCACUUUCAGUGAGGAAGAACGCCUGGUGGUUAAUACCCAUCAGGAAAGACAUCACUCACAGAAGAAGCACCGGCUAACUCCGUGCCAGCAGCCGCGGUAAUACGGAGGGUGCGAGCGUUAAUCGGAAUUACUGGGCGUAAAGCGCGCGUAGGUGGCUUGAUAAGCCGGUUGUGAAAGCCCCGGGCUCAACCUGGGAACGGCAUCCGGAACUGUCAAGCUAGAGUGCAGGAGAGGAAGGUAGAAUUCCCGGUGUAGCGGUGAAAUGCGUAGAGAUCGGGAGGAAUACCAGUGGCGAAGGCGGCCUUCUGGACUGACACUGACGCUGAGGUGCGACAGCGUGGGUAGCAAACAGGAUUAGAUACCCGAGUAGUC